Molecule: ribosomal RNA, 500 nt
Filed under: uncultured bacterium
Lineage: Bacteria
Description: SSU rRNA
Rfam family: Bacterial small subunit ribosomal RNA
Source: RNAcentral
AGGACGAACGCUGGCGGCGUGCUUAACACAUGCAAGUGGAGCGACUAACCAGACUUCGGUCUGGGGCAAAGCCGCGAACGGGUGAGUAACACGUGGGUAACCUGCCCUGAUGAUUGGGACAACCCGAGGAAACUCGGGCUAAUACCAAAUGUGUCCAACACUUAUCAAGAGUGUUGUGUAAAGGUAGCUUCGGCUUCCGCAUCAGGAGGGGCCCGCGGCCCAUUAGCUCGUUGGUGAGGUAACGGCUCACCAAGGCUACGAUGGGUAGCUGGUCUGAGAGGAUGAUCAGCCACACUGGAACUGAGACACGGUCCAGACUCCUACGGGAGGCAGCAGUGGGGAAUCUUGCGCAAUGCGCGAAAGCGUGACGCAGCAACGCCGCGUGGGGAAGACGGCUUCGGGUUGUAAACCCUUUCAGUUGGGACGAAGCUCUGUCCGUUAAUAGCGGAUCAGAGUGACGGUACCUUCAGAAGAAGCUCCGGCUAACUACGUGCCAGCAG